Molecule: long non-coding RNA, 499 nt
Organism: Uranotaenia lowii
Lineage: Eukaryota; Metazoa; Arthropoda; Insecta; Diptera; Culicidae
Exons: 3
Source: RefSeq, a predicted model, not a curated record
AUAACUCGAUUGAUAAGGAUCGAUCUCAGUGAAGUUGAUUUAGUAAUUCAAAAGCUUGUGAAAACCAAAAACCCUCUAAAAUGGUUAAAUUGGGACUGUUGUUCAUCGUCCUCUUCUGCAUCAUUCAGUUCACCUUCGCAGCACGCCUGCGACGUUAUGAUCUCCAAGAGUCCUUUUAUAGCAUGAGAGAGCGAUCAGACAACACCGCCACCAAAGAAAAUGUUGACUAUCGACAGCAGCUAAAAGAGAUUAGAGAUCUCAUACAGACCGAGCUUGAGAAAAAGUAUCCGAAGGAAUAAGAUAACCGGUGCCAAAACCUUCCUGAGCGUUAAUUCGCUGACAGAGAAAGGGUAUCAGUGAAACCGCUAUAUUGUUUACUAAAGUAGAUAAUAUUUUUUUUUUGCUGGGAUUUUAAUCCUUUCGGAUGAUUUAUCCUAAUUUAUCCGGUUGCAUAGUCUAUAAUAAACUGAUUAGAAAAAGGGAAACAGUGUCUGGUUUA